GCCCACUUUCUAAUUAAGGCCUGCAAUCAAAGGGUGUAAAAAGCACAUGAUAAAUAAAUUUCAACUGUAUGUACUUCAUGCAAUUAUACGUGCAAGCAGUUACAGCAAAUAGUAAAUUCCAACCAAAGACAUAGUUUAUCUCCUGCAGGACACAAAGCAAGACUUAAAGAAUGAUCACCACCACCAAAGAAAGCAGACUUUAUAAGAGCUUAGUCCAUCCCAUUGCAAUAGCCACUGUAUCUAACUUAAAAUUUUAGCACAUGAUCCAUUUUAACCCAAUUGGCUAGGAUCCUUUCCAGUUACAGACCUAUCCGUCACCACUGGAUAAAGAAUGCAUUCUUACAAGCUAGUUCCAAGAAGGUAGCAAAAGGAAAGAGGCAUAAAUAUUGAAUUCCAUUCCUUGUUUUGAAAAUAUUUUUAAUGCAUAAAAAUGGCAUUUGUACAACUUUUCUUUCUUUUCUUUUCUUUUUGGAUAGGAAACAAGUUUCAACUUCAGAAGCACUCAUGCAGCUCCUAAGACAUUCACAUAUUAUAGCAUAAUGGCCAAUAAACAUAAAACAAGUUUCAAAAGUGCCAGUUGGAAUACAAAUGUAACAUAACUGAUAGAUCAAUGUAACCAACCUGCCUAUUCAAAU
Molecule: unclassified non-coding RNA, 635 nt
Filed under: Hevea brasiliensis (rubber tree)
Lineage: Eukaryota; Viridiplantae; Streptophyta; Magnoliopsida; Malpighiales; Euphorbiaceae
Source: RNAcentral